AACGCUGGCGGCGUGCUUAACACAUGCAAGUCGAACGGAAAGGCCCUGCUUUUGUGGGGUGCUCGAGUGGCGAACGGGUGAGUAACACGUGAGUAACCUGCCCUUGACUUUGGGAUAACUUCAGGAAACUGGGGCUAAUACCGGAUAGGAGCUCCUGCUGCAUGGUGGGGGUUGGAAAGUUUCGGCGGUUGGGGAUGGACUCGCGGCUUAUCAGCUUGUUGGUGGGGUAGUGGCUUACCAAGGCUUUGACGGGUAGCCGGCCUGAGAGGGUGACCGGCCACAUUGGGACUGAGAUACGGCCCAGACUCCUACGGGAGGCAGCAGUGGGGAAUAUUGCACAAUGGGCGGAAGCCUGAUGCAGCAACGCCGCGUGCGGGAUGACGGCCUUCGGGUUGUAAACCGCUUUCGCCUGUGACGAAGCGUGAGUGACGGUAAUGGGUAAAGAAGCACCGGCUAACUACGUGCCAGCAGCCGCGGUGAUACGUAGGGUGCGAGCGUUGUCCGGAUUUAUUGGGCGUAAAGGGCUCGUAGGUGGUUGAUCGCGUCGGAAGUGUAAUCUUGGGGCUUAACCCUGAGCGUGCUUUCGAUACGGGUUGACUUGAGGAAGGUAGGGGAGAAUGGAAUUCCUGGUGGAGCGGUGGAAUGCGCAGAUAUCAGGAGGAACACCAGUGGCGAAGGCGGUUCUCUGGGCCUUUCCUGACGCUGAGGAGCGAAAGCGUGGGGAGCGAACAGGCUUAGAUACCCUGGUAGUCCACGCUGUAAACGGUGGGUACUAGGUGUGGGGUCCAUUCCACGGGUUCCGUGCCGUAGCUAACGCUUUAAGUACCCCGCCUGGGGAGUACGGCCGCAAGGCUAAAACUCAAAGGAAUUGACGGGGCCCCGCACAAGCGGCGGAGCAUGCGGAUUAAUUCGAUGCAACGCGUAGAACCUUACCUGGGUUUGACAUGGAUCGGGGGUGCUCAGAGAUGGGUGUGCCUCUUUUGGGGUCGGUUCACAGGUGGUGCAUGGCUGUCGUCAGCUCGUGUCGUGAGAUGUUGGGUUAAGUCCCGCAACGAGCGCAACCCUUGUUCACUGUUGCCAGCACGUUAUGGUGGGGACUCAGUGGAGACCGCCGGGGUCAACUCGGAGGAAGGUGGGGAUGACGUCAAGUCAUCAUGCCCCUUAUGUCCAGGGCUUCACGCAUGCUACAAUGGCUGGUACAGAGAGUGGCGAGCCUGUGAGGGUGAGCGAAUCUCGGAAAGCCGGUCUCAGUUCGGAUUGGGGUCUGCAACUCGACCUCAUGAAGUCGGAGUCGCUAGUAAUCGCAGAUCAGCAACGCUGCGGUGAAUACGUUCCCGGGGCUUGUACACACCGCCCGUCAAGUCAUGAAAGUUGGUAACACCCGAAGCCGGUGGCCUAACCGUUGUGGGGGAGCCGUCGAAGGUGGGACUGGUGAUUAGGACUAA
RNAcentral lists this ribosomal RNA (1445 nucleotides) under uncultured organism. RNAcentral describes it as "SSU rRNA". It matches the Rfam family "Bacterial small subunit ribosomal RNA". The record is from RNAcentral.